AGCAGCCGCGGUAAUUCCAGCUCCAAUAGCGUAUAUUAAAGUUGUUGCAGUUAAAAGCUCGUAGUUGAAUUUCGGGAUUGGCGCAUCGGUCGUGCCUCACGGGGUAUGAACUGGUGCAGUCAAUUUCUCACCUUCUGGAGAACCGCGAUGUCCUUAAUUGGAUGCCGCGGGGAACCAGGACCUUUACUUUGAAAAAUUAGAGUGUUUAAAGCAGGCUAUUUUUGCUUGAAUACAUUAGCAUGGAAUAAUAAAAUAGGACGGCAUGGUUCUAUUUUGUUGGUUUCUAGGACCACCGUAAUGAUUAAUAGGGAUAGUUGGGGGCAUUAGUAUUCAAUUGUCAGAGGUGAAAUUCUUGGAUUUAUUGAAGUACUAACUACUGCGAAAGCAUUUGCCAAGGAUGUUUUCAUUAAUCAAGAACGAAAGUUAGGGAUCGAAGACGAUCAGAUACCGUCGUAGUCUUAACCAUAAACUAUAGACCGACUAGGAAUCAGACGAUUGUUAAUUUUUUAAUGUACUUCGU
This 520-nucleotide unclassified non-coding RNA is filed under the name uncultured Entrophospora. Its description in RNAcentral is "SSU rRNA". It matches the Rfam family "Eukaryotic small subunit ribosomal RNA", at positions 569 to 1079 of the family's 1831-position model. The record is from RNAcentral. Lineage: Eukaryota; Fungi; Glomeromycota; Glomeromycetes; Entrophosporales; Entrophosporaceae.